This is a long non-coding RNA of Rosa rugosa (rugosa rose), 2283 nucleotides long. RefSeq lists it as uncharacterized. Lineage: Eukaryota; Viridiplantae; Streptophyta; Magnoliopsida; Rosales; Rosaceae. The record is from RefSeq and is a predicted model, not a curated record. The transcript has 3 exons.
UUGGAGCAAAGAAGGAGAAAAGAAGUAAAAGAGGGAUUGAAAAGCAAAAUCGGGAAAUCUGCCUGUGCAGAUCAGUUAACUUCGACAGAGCAAUGAGACCAUCUCAGAACGAUCCAGAGGAUGAUCUUUAUAUUGAUGGAUAGCCUCGGAUGUCUAGUUUCCGAAUCUUUUUACGGCUCAUCAAUAUCAUUUUUCUAUAAGAAGUUAUGGCCGAUUUAGUACAAGAAGGUCAGGCUGCGCGUGAAUCUGAGGUUGGACGGGAAUUUAUGUUUCGAGGCCCAAAUCACACCGAGAAGCCCGAGGACGAGUUUGUGCUUCAUAUUUCAGCUUAAUAUAGACAAAUGGCAUGAUGUGAAUGGUUGGAAUGAGUCAUCAAGUUCAAGAGCCAAUAGGAAAACUCCACCUAAGCACGUGAACCCUAAUUCUUUUAGGUUUUGGAUUUCCUAACCUCUAAGCAUAUAAAAGGAGAUCAAUCUGCAGCAGCUCUCUCUCUCUCUCUUCCUCCCCUUCUUUAGUUUGUUUUGUUUCUUCUAUGUUUAACUAGUUUUUAUUAGUUAGGGGGCUGCUCGAAGCCCCUAGACAUGAACUACAAGAUGAUUUGACCUUUGAUGUUAUUUUCUUUUAAGGGCUAAAUACUGUUUAGUACCCUGUGGUUUGGGUCCAAAAUCAAUUCAAUCCCUAGACUUUCAAUUUCAUCAAAAACACCCUUACACUAACAUUUCUCAUCCAAUAUACCCCUCCGUCAUGAUUCCGUUAAAUGGAGCCGUUAAGUAGCUGAUGUGGCAUGCCAACUUGGCACUGGUGGGGCCCACAUGGCAGGCAAAAUUUCAAAAUUCUAGACUAAAAUCUCAGAAUUUUUUUUUUAAUGACAAUUGCAGAAAAUUUGAAAUAACAAAUUUGAUUCCAUCUCUCUCUCUCCCCCCCCCCCUCGGUUUCUCAGCAAUCUCAUCCUUAGAUCUGCUGAACCAACCAAUCUCACCACUCUGGUUUCUCCGUCGGCUGCUCCCAUACCGGAAACAAAGCUCUUCGUAAUAGUCUCACGCUCCAUACCCACUACUCUAGUCAUCAUUUCGUCUGUAGUGAAAGCCCCAAAUGGAUCGAAAACCGGCGACUCCGAUUAGCAAUCGGACUCGGAUUCAGAGUGGAUGCUAUCGCAAUCAGAAUCGGAAUCUUUGAGUUUGGGUAUUCUCUAGCGUCAUCGGGACUUCAUCGGCGUCGAUCUGGAUGUAAUCUAUGAGGAUUGAUUCUGGGUUUUUGCAAUUUUUAAUUUCCCAGAAUUGCAGAGAUGAGGGCUUGUCAUCAGAGGCCUUGAACGGUGCGAUCUGAUGAGGCUCCGAUUCCAUCCAUUCCGCUCCGAUCCGCGUACGUCAUCAUGUUUUUCUUCGACUGGUUCUACGGCGUGCUUGCUUCCCUCGGUCUGUGGCAGAAGGAGGCCAAGGUCUUGUUCCUCGGGCUCGAUAAUGCCGGCAAGACCUUGCUUCACAUGCUCAAAGAUGAGUUUGAAAGGUUCGAUUGAUUGGACAUCUUGAUCUCAACUUCUCAAGGGCUGUUCAUUAGUCUUCGAAAACACAAGAACCUACUCUCCAGCAACUAAGGUUGUUUAUGAAUACAAAUGGCUAUAGUCUUGCAGUGGAUAUAUGGAGCUUGGGAUGUACUAUUCUUCAAAUGGCGAGUUCAAAACCCCCAUGGAGCCAGUAUGAAGGGGUGAGAAAUACCGUUCAGAACCUAUUCCUUUACAAAAUUUCUUUUCCAUUACUAGCAUAAUGAAAAUACAAAAUUCCUUUUUUACAAUGUAUAUUUCAUUAUUUUAUUUUGGAAUUGUCGUAGAACUCACAAGCUGUAGCUGUUACACAAGCUCUGGUAGCAUACUUAUUUUGAUUUAUAGUGUAACAAAUCCCACCUUCCAUGAGUGACUAGGAGCAGUUGACAUGUCUUUUUAGGAGCAACUCCAUGAAAAGGAGCAGGCCAUGCAUGCAGGAUUUGGAGAUGAAAUUACAAGAAAAAUAUAGAGAGCUGCAUCCUACCAAAUUAGAUAAUGAAGCAGUUAGUUAUAUGUUUAUGAAUUUUCUCUUGGUUGCUUUAGCUGAGCAAUUUCUAAGUUUUACCCACUUUCGUAAUUUAUAUAUAUAUGAGUUCAGAAGACAAAGGAAGUUGCAGAUGAAGUUUUGUUCAUGGCAAUCUUAUCAACUUUGAGUCACCAAUUAUGAUACUGUUGAACAUCUGUAGAAGAGUUCCUGCUACAACAUAUUUGAAUUCGACUAAACUACUAUACCUUUUCCUCAA